This 317-nucleotide small nuclear RNA is filed under the name Salvator merianae (Argentine black and white tegu). Its description in RNAcentral is "7SK RNA (ENSSMRG00000009892.1)". It matches the Rfam family "7SK RNA". Rfam says of the family: 7SK was discovered as an abundant small nuclear RNA in the mid-70s but a possible function has only recently been suggested. Two independent studies have found that 7SK RNA binds the CDK9/cyclin T complex (known as elongation factor P-TEFb). Lineage: Eukaryota; Metazoa; Chordata; Lepidosauria; Squamata; Teiidae. The record is from Rfam by way of RNAcentral.
AGAUGUGAGGGCAAUCUGCUAUGACAUCUGCCAUUCCACUGGUUGACAGGUGGAUUCAGCUGAUCUGGCUGGCUAGGUGGGUGUCCCCUUUCCCCCCUCACCUCUUCAAGUGCAUUCCUCCCAAAGCUGUAAACUUAGUGGAGGAGGAUGGUCAACCCAGGUACAAGGAGCGUACCAUUUUUUGCUUAAGGGUAUACGAUAGCUGUGGUCCCCUGCAUAUGUUUUGUUAAAGGCUAGUGAUUCUUUGCAGUAGUUUGAACAGAAAGAGCCACAAUUCCUUCAACAGUUCAAACUAAGAAUGACACAAUCUGGUCUUU